CCUACGGGUGGCAGCAGUGGGGAAUAUUGCACAAUGGGGGAAACCCUGAUGCAGCAACGCCGCGUGAGUGAAGAAGUAUUUCGGUAUGUAAAGCUCUAUUAGUAGGGAAGAAGAUGACGGUACCUGAAUAAGAAGCCCCGGCUAACUACGUGCCAGCAGCCGCGGUAAUACGUAGGGGGCAAGCGUUACCCGGAUUUACUGGGUGUAAAGGGAGCGCAGACGGGAGUGCAAGUCUGAAGUGAAAGCCCAGGGCUCAACCCCGGAACUGCACUUGAAACUGUGCGGCUAGAGUACUGGAGGGGCAGGCGGAAUUCCUGGUGUAGCGGUGAAAUGCGUAGAGAUUAGGAGGAACACCAGUGGCGAAGGCGACCUGCUGGACAGUAACUGACGUUGAGGCUCGAAAGCGUGGGGAGCAAACAGGAUUAGAUACCCCGGUAGUC
RNAcentral lists this ribosomal RNA (440 nucleotides) under uncultured bacterium. RNAcentral describes it as "partial 16S ribosomal RNA". It matches the Rfam family "Bacterial small subunit ribosomal RNA", at positions 338 to 795 of the family's 1533-position model. The record is from RNAcentral.